RNAcentral lists this ribosomal RNA (498 nucleotides) under uncultured bacterium. Its description in RNAcentral is "partial 16S ribosomal RNA". It matches the Rfam family "Bacterial small subunit ribosomal RNA", at positions 28 to 507 of the family's 1533-position model. The record is from RNAcentral.
GACGAACGCUGGCGGCGUGCCCAAUACAUGCAAGUCGAACGAGAGCGACCGGUGCUUGCACUGGUCAAUCUAGUGGCGAACGGGUGAGUAACACGUGGGUAACCUGCCCAUCAGAGGGGGAUAACAUCCGGAAACGGAUGCUAAAACCGCAUAGGUCUUCGAGCCGCAUGGCUUGAAGAGGAAAAGAGGCGCAAGCUUCUGCUGAUGGAUGGACCCGCGGUGCAUUAGCUAGUUGGUGAGGUAACGGCUCACCAAGGCCGUGAUGCAUAGCCGACCUGAGAGGGUGAUCGGCCACAUUGGGACUGAGACACGGCCCAAACUCCUACGGGAGGCAGCAGUAGGGAAUCUUCCGCAAUGGACGCAAGUCUGACGGAGCAACGCCGCGUGAGUGAAGAAGGUGUUCGGAUCGUAAAACUCUGUUGUUAGAGAAGAACAAGUGCUAGAGUAACUGUUAGCGCCUUGACGGUAGCUAACCAGAAAGCCACGGCUAACUACGUG